GAUGAACGCUAGCGGCAGGCCUAAUACAUGCAAGUCGGACGGGAUUGGAGAGCUUGCUUUCCAUGAGAGUGGCGCACGGGUGCGUAACACGUAUGUAACCUACCUUGUUCAGGGGGAUAGCCUCUCGAAAGAGAGAUUAAGACCGCAUAACAUUGCGAUGUGGCAUCACAUUGUAAUCAAAUAUUUAUAGGAACAAGAUGGGCAUGCGGAACAUUAGCUAGUUGGUAAGGUAAAGGCUUACCAAGGCUACGAUGUUUAGGGGAUCUGAGAGGAUGACCCCCCACACUGGUACUGAGACACGGACCAGACUCCUACGGGAGGCAGCAGUAAGGAAUAUCGGUCAAUGGGCGGAAGCCUGAACCAGCCAUGCCGCGUGCAGGAAGACGGCCCUAUGGGUUGUAAACUGCUUUUGCAGGGGAAUAAACCUUGGUACGUGUACCAAGCUGAAUGUACUCUGAGAAUAAGGAUCGGCUAACUCCGUGCCAGCAGCCGCAGUAA
This 498-nucleotide ribosomal RNA is filed under the name uncultured bacterium. Its description in RNAcentral is "partial 16S ribosomal RNA". It matches the Rfam family "Bacterial small subunit ribosomal RNA", at positions 28 to 523 of the family's 1533-position model. The record is from RNAcentral.